CACAUACUCAGAACUGAGGAGCAGGUCCCUUUUUCAGGUAUGAAGGUUACAGCUGCUGUGUAGUUACAACACCUAACAUUCACAAUACUUCUACCUCCUUUUCUUACAAAGUUUUUCAGGAGGAAGAAAAAAAUUCAGAUUUGCAUGAAGGAAUAAAAAGUACCUAAAUGGUAAGUAUGUGGGCAAAUAUAAAAAACUGUCCAUGUUUGGCAUUGAAUGCAAAAUUAAAUGUAUUGUGG
This 239-nucleotide long non-coding RNA is filed under the name Felis catus (domestic cat). RNAcentral describes it as "lncRNA (ENSFCAG00000049514.1)". The record is from RNAcentral. Lineage: Eukaryota; Metazoa; Chordata; Mammalia; Carnivora; Felidae.